CAUCAGCUCUUCCUUCUCCUGUUGUUUUCUUUCUUUCUUCUGCCCUGGAAUUAAGUCUGCUGUUUCUCUUUCCUUAUUUUUUCCAGAUUUUCUUCAAUAAAACUAUCUUUACUGAUAGUAGUUAUAGUAGUAGUAGAAGCACUGGUAUUAGCAGUAGAAAGUAUACCAGUUGAGAUGAUCUCUAGUUCUUAUUUCAUGAACCAAAUUCUUGUGCAAGGACAUAUCUGAGGCCAUGAUGUGUACAAGUUGACCAGAGUUCAAAUGUCACUUCUGCACCUUAUUACAAAGAUCCAGUCUGCCCUCCAGCUACUCCAGAUAGUCAAACUGUCUGCUUUCCCUGUUCUCCUGUUGUUUUCUUUCUUUAUUCUGCCCUGGAAAUAAGUCUGCUGUUUCUCUUUCCUUAUUUUUUCCAGAUUUUCUUCAAUAAAACUCUCUUUACUAAUAGUGGUUAUAGUAGUAGUAGAAGCACUGGUAUUAGCAGUAGAAAGUAUACCAGUUGAGAUGAUCUCUAGUUCUUAUUUCAUGAACCAAAUUCUUGUGCAAGGACAUAUCUGAGGCCAUGAUGUGUAUAAGUUGGCCAGAGUUCAAAUGUCACUUCUGCACCUUAUUACAAAGAUCCAGUCUGCCCUCCAGCUACUCCAGAUAGUCAAACUGUCUGCUUUCCCUGUCCUCAUUUAAAAGCGCUGACCAACCAAAAGGCUUUUGCAAGGUUCUAGCUACCCCAUUUUUCAUGUUUAGCCCUAAGAGUGGCCAACCAAAGGGCUAAACUGUUUCUACUAGUCCACAGUUUCUGGUGUAGCAAGGUUAAAUUUUCCUUGUGGUGCUUUUAUCUUUCAUAAGAUGGGGGAAUUUUUUUCUCACAGCCCUAGGCCUUGUUUGGUAGGCACCUCAUCGCAUUUUUAGACAACAUCCCUAAUACAUAUUAUUUACUAUUAACUAAAAUGGGAUAAACUCAUUUUUAGGCAUCUUUCAAACAGGGUCAGGUGUCAACUCGCAUUUGCCCUAUUGUUGUCUCGAGGAACUACUCGCACUCUGCUAGUUCAGGAUUGCCAAAAUACCAUAGAAAUUAAUUUCAUAGGUGUCAUCUGGAGGAGUUGUCCCUACAACGACAGACUUUGGAUGUUGCCACCAGCAUGGAUGACCUCCUCCUGAUUCAGAAUCAUUACAGAUUGAGUGAAGCCUCUGAAUCUGGAUUCGGCCCUUGUCCUUUCAAUUGUAAGCCUGAAUAUCUUGAAAUUGUUCUGAUUUGACUUGUCUACUGAUCAUCUCUUCUUGGGAGAAGAGGAUAACAAUCAAGGUUAACAUUAACCGAUGACGGAGCAGCCAUUUCAGGCAGGGGAGGUAGAAGUAGUGGGGACAGAAACAGAAGCGGUUUCCCCUCAUAGAAUAGUAGUAAUGGAGACAACGGCAAACGGGGAAGCGAGCAGAACCAGUGCAACGGAAAAGGGACCGAUUGUACCCUCCAAUCGACGAGAUAAAGGGGAAGGCUGGGUCUUAGUUUCAAAGAAAUGUAGGAAAGAGAUCCUACCUAGGAAGAGAAAUAGGGAUGUGGCCAGUUACCCAACCUUGUUUGUCAAGGGAUAUCUAACAGGACGGCUUCCCAUCAAUUUUGCCAUAGUGUUUGGUAGGGCUGGUAUCGUGAUGGAUGUUGUAAUGCCUAGGAAUAAAGCAAAUGGCUCCUAUAGGGGAUUUGCGUUGGUUAGAAUGAGCUCUGAGAGUGAGCUUCAUAAGGGGAUUCAAAUCCUUGAUGGUGAGAGUUUCGGGGGUGCAAAAAUGCGAGUUCAAAGGGUGAGAUUCGGACCGAAACUCAGGGUUAAACCAGAAAAAAGGCCCCAGAGGCCUAAAUCGCCUCAGAUGUCUUAUAGGAACAACAACUCCAGAAAUACAUUUUAGCAGGGUUCAAUCUCCUUCAAAGAGAUCCUUCUCAACAAGAGAGAUGACACCUCUACACGAGAGGCGAACCCAAAUAGAGAAGACAUUGGGCAUAAUAUAAAGGGUAGGGAAGCAGAGAAGCCAGGAAAAAACGACAACAGAGGUAUAUUCAUCAAUUAAUCAGCAUUUGAAAAAUCAAAAAUAGCUCUGUAGGAUUCGGUGGUCGCUAUCACCAAGGAGGGUGCUUCUACAGCACAAGUUAGAUGAUGGCUUGAUGAGUGCUGCAGUGCUCCUGCAACAUGCUAUACAAUCAAACCUAUCGGAUUCAAUGAGUUGUGGAUUAGGAUGAGUCCAGAGUACAACGUAGACCUCUUAAUAAUGGCAGGAGUUAUUCAUAAAGACGGUCCGAUUAUUUCGGUUCAGAGAUGGGAAGAAUUCUCCAUGUUCGGGUUCGAAGAGGUAUGGAUACUGAUAUGGUCGGUCCCUUUGGAAUUAUGUUAUGAAGAAUUUUUUCUCUCUAUCGCGUCUCGUCUGGCUCAACUCGUCGAGUUGGAUCCCAAAACGAAGAGGGGUGAGGAGUUGGGAGUCAUCAGAGCUAGGAUUCGUAGGAGGAAGGGGGAGACAUUACCAUCCUACAUCCAAGCUAUGGCUAAUGAGAGAACGGUGAUUCUUCCAAUCCAACAGGAGGCCAAAAACGCCCCGAUCCCAAGAUGGGGUGACCUUUGGAGGUCUAGAGAGCCGAUUCAUUCGUCAUCUGUUUUUGGGUAAGUUGGGGAAGAAGGAUGAGCAUGUCUUCGGUACUCCUUAGGCCCAUCGUUGCAGAGAGAUAAUCGAAUACCGUGCUCAACAAGUCUAUCAGUAUUACCAAGGGACAACUGUCAUCAUUGUAUUGAUAGUUUUCGAAAUGUGGAAGGUGUAGAUCGAAGCGGUCAGAUCGGGUAGAAUGUCGACAUAGUUACUUUAUUAAGUGAUACGUGUCACCCCAUCGAGGGUAGAGAUCCCUCUCCUUCGCACAAGUGGACGGCGGAGAAGGACUCUAUUGUCAAUCACGCACGGAUCCAUAGGUCUUCUAACCCCAACCUCUCCUCAGUGAAACCUAUCGAGAGCGCUGGCCCUUUACAGACAGAUGGAGUCCAUCGGGAGGCUCGGGUGUCUACUCGCAGGCUCAGGUCCUUAGCUAAGCAUCGGACGGGUGAUCCGGAAGUUCCGAACUAGUUAUCAUUGAAUCUCGACCUCUCUCUUUAGUCAGAUCCCACUUCUGAACGACAACUUAUCUCCAAACCUCUACGUCUAGAAGUUAUCGCAGCAGCUGCUGAACAUCUAUACAGGAAGCUUCCGCUCCAGCUUCUUUCCAGACAUCAAAGCGAUGAAUGUCUAGCUGCGAACGUCUUUAAGGGUCCCGAGUCUAGUUGCGAAUCAGACUUCCCUCCAAAUCUUCUAGCAUUGGAAGGCGGUGAUCUCUCCGAUUCCAAUCCUGACUCUCCAUUCUCAGAGCAAGCCAAUGCUUUGAGUUGUUCUUUGCCCUGUUCCGUUUCCCAAUCAGAGAUUAUGUCAGACUCGACCCUUUUCGCUCUCUUUCAGGAAGAAGAUGUGGAAGGUAUUAUCGAAGCAGAGUUUCUUUAGAUCAGGAUGGGGAGUCAGUCACAAGUUUCUGGUGAUGUUGAUACGGCAGAGAAGGAUAUUGUAGUGCAGAGGGCAAAGCUAGUCGACUCUAUUCAGAAAAAAAAAGAUGGAUAAGGGAUGCUAUGGGCCACGUUGGGAGAUCAUUAGGUUUUUCAUUUGGAGAUCAUCCUGAAGAUUUUAUUGCUCUAUUUCACUGCAUUGAGACUCGCGGUCAUCCCCUACAAUGUUCCAAAUCCCCUAGAAUCCAAUCUCCCAAGUUAAGAAGAAACAGAGAAUUACAGAGUCUUCAAUCCAGUUCCUUUUACAGUAAGGAAAUAAUGUUGGGUAGUAUCGGAGGAGGCCGACGAGGAAGAUUUGUUUCUUAGAUGAUUAUUCUUUCAUGGAACAGUAGAGGGGUGGGCUCUAAGAAGUAGAGAAGUUUGAUAAAAGAUAUCAUCGACAUAAGUAAAGCAGAAAUUAUCUGCCUUCAGGAAACCAAAGACCAGGAAUUCAAUAGCAAUCUGAUGGGCUCUCUCUGGAAGGAAGCAAAUGCGAAGUGGGUGCCGUUAAAUGCGAUAGGAAGAGCAGGUGGUAUUUUGAUAGCCUGGAAUUCGUCUCCGUGGUCCAUGGAGCGCAGUUGGGUUGGUGUAUUCUCGGUUUCGGUUAUUCUCAAACAGUUUAGCUCUGACUUUUCUUGUCUAAUUUCUUCGGUUUAUGGUCCUAACCAAGAAGAUAGAAGAACUGCUUUUUGGGAUGGAUUGAAUGUAGGCAGGCAAAAUUUUGAUGGUCCUUGGUGCAUUGGAGGCAAUUUUAACAUUACACGUUACGCAGAGGAGAAAUCCAAUGUUGGCAAAGUCUCUUCAGCAAUGCAUUCCUUUUCUCGCUAGAUCGACUCUCAAGAAUUGGUGGAUCUUCCUCUGAUCGGUUCAAGAUUUACCUGGUCUAAUUAGAGAGCGGACCCGAUUCUUGCACGGUUGGACAAAUUUCUUCUUUUAGGGGAUUGGAUCGAAGCGUUUCCUUUGUUCUCGCAAUCUGCUCUGCCUCGUCCUACAUUUGAUCAGAGUCCUCUUAUUCUCUCUAUGGAGGAGGAUAAUUGGGGGUCCGAAACCAUUCAGAUUUGAUUUAUCUUGGCUGAAGAUCGAAGGUUUCCAGCAGCUCAUCUCGGAUUUGGUGGAAAGGUUUCAAGGUUGAUGGCUAUGUAGGGUACAGAUUAAGCCAAAAGCUAAUUAUGUUGAAGGAGAAGAUAAAAGGAUGGAAGAAGUUUGAUCUACGUAAAAGGCAAGAAGAAACAUAUGCCAUCUUGGUCGAAAUUCAGACCAUAGAUUCUGCGAUAAAAGACAGCCAAGGGAUAGUGCAAUUUGGUCCAGAAGAUCUAAGCUAGUCCAUGAUGGGGACAUCUCGCGCACACGCAUGCCUCCUUUACGCACAUAUGCAAGGAGGGCCCCACCUUCUAUCUGGAUCGAUGACGACAUCCAUGGAGGACCUCCUAGUUAGAGGUCCGUGUUUUGGUUCCUUGGGAUGGACCCGAUCAUCAUGUGGAUCCCAUCAUUGGAUCUCAUGAUCGUGGCCCACUACCCUAGGUGACCUAGUACUUUAGGUUUUGCUUAUUAUUGUUAUUAGAAAUAUCAUGGAUGGUUUAGAUUGCUUUGAUUAGUUGUUAUUUUUGAUUACUUCGUCUCCAAGUAAUAGGUUACGCACAUGGCGCGAGUUUUGGGGUCUAGGGUUUUAUUAUAAAUAGGCACCCCUUGUAGCCUUUUUUCUCAAUGAAGAUUAAUAAAAUUGCUGCGUUUUUAUGCUCCUCUAAAUUUCUAAGUUGUGGAGAUUCAAUUGGGUGUGAAACCCUCCCUAAAGGGCUGACUACCGUGGUGCGAAGCCACACUUGUCCUAAUUUGCCCCAACUUUCUUCCAUCCAGAUUUCUCCUCCUACAAUCAUUUACGCUUCAAAUCCAUCCUCUAUUGCAGCCGUUUUUCUCUGUACAACAGAUUUUCAGAAUCUGGCCUUGUAGGAGGGCUGAAACUUUGGGGGAGCACCACGCACAAACCGUGUAUCGGAUCGAGCUGAGAUUUGAGGGUUUUGGAGUCCAUCACUGGCCGACCAGGGCCAAGGUGGUCUUUUUCUGAAUAGUGGGCCCCACACAUGUGCGGCCGGAAUCACACUCAUGUGCAUCUGGGCCAUUGCUGCUAUCCACACGUGCAGUACUUCUUUAGUUUGUCUCUCUCAUCUCUUUCACUCUUUCACCCAAAAUCCCUAAACCUAACCUUAAAUUAUUCGAAUCUCCAAAUUUGUGCCCUUUCUUCAGCCUUAGGGUUCCCCGAAUUGAAAUUUCUGAAUCCCUUGGAUUGGGGGAGUUAUUUAUGUGCAUGCGUAGAUGAAUUUACCCUCCUUUGAUUAUUGUUUGGUCUAUAAUUUUGAUUGAUCCGGCCCUAGCAUGUGUAGGCCUGGAUCCGCAUAAGAUUCCCCUUGAUUAAGUGUUUGAACUUUUGUGUGGGAUGUGGAAUUUUGUGUAAUUAUUUCUGAACUAGUGUGAUCUAAAGCCU
Molecule: long non-coding RNA, 6012 nt
Organism: Magnolia sinica
Lineage: Eukaryota; Viridiplantae; Streptophyta; Magnoliopsida; Magnoliales; Magnoliaceae
Exons: 2
Source: RefSeq, a predicted model, not a curated record